Molecule: transfer RNA, 74 nt
Filed under: Tieghemiomyces parasiticus
Lineage: Eukaryota; Fungi; Kickxellomycota; Dimargaritomycetes; Dimargaritales; Dimargaritaceae
Description: tRNA-Val
Source: RNAcentral
GUCAGUGUGGUGUAGUUGGUUAUCACGUACGCCUCACACGCGUAAGGUCUACGGUUUGAGCCCGGACAUUGACA